GAUGAACGCUGGCGGCGUGCCUAAUACAUGCAAGUCGAACGCUGUAGAUCUAGCUUGCUAGAUCGAAGGAGUGGCGAACGGGUGAGUAAUACAUAAGCAACCUACCCACGAAGACUGGGAUAAUCUCUGGAAACGGGGACUAAUACCGGAUAGGUAAUCGGAAGGCAUCUUCUGGUUAUUAAAGGUUAAAAACACUGGUGGAUGGGCUUAUGGCGCAUUAGUUAGUUGGUGAGGUAACGGCCCACCAAGACGAUGAUGCGUAGCCGGCCUGAGAGGGUGAACGGCCACAUUGGGACUGAGACACGGCCCAGACUCCUACGGGAGGCAGCAGUAGGGAAGUUUCGGCAAUGGGGGCAACCCUGACCGAGCAACGCCGCGUGAGUGAAGACGGCCUUCGGGUUGUAAAGCUCUGUUGUAAGGGAAGAACGGUAGAUAGAGAAUAUCUAAGUGACGGUACCUUACCAGAAAGCCACGGCUAACUACGUG
This 486-nucleotide ribosomal RNA is filed under the name uncultured bacterium. RNAcentral describes it as "partial 16S ribosomal RNA". It matches the Rfam family "Bacterial small subunit ribosomal RNA", at positions 28 to 507 of the family's 1533-position model. The record is from RNAcentral.